Molecule: long non-coding RNA, 625 nt
Organism: Argiope bruennichi
Lineage: Eukaryota; Metazoa; Arthropoda; Arachnida; Araneae; Araneidae
Exons: 3
Source: RefSeq, a predicted model, not a curated record
GUCCGUUCCUGAAGUGUGUGCCUGUGCCUUCUCUACUUUUUGGAUUAUACUGAUAUCUACAGCAAUGGAAAAUGCAUGUUGUGCUUGCUUUUGGCCUUUAUUACUUUGAGAACUGAAAACAUCCCAUGGCAAAAGCUGUCAUUCACCUGUCAGCAUAAAGCUUCAUGGAAAAGUUGCUUUGCUUGACUAUACUCUGGAUGAAAGUUGUGGUUUCUUUUUAUUUUUUGCCUUGAAACUUCAGAAUUAAAGAGAUGCAAGGGCUGUUUCUGGAUAACGUGAGGGAUUUCCUCUGCCCAAAUUCGACAGUUGUGGGUGUUAUAUUGCUCAUUGAGGCAAAAGUGGACCUCAUCACACAACAGAAUGUUCCAUGGCCAAGUUGUGUCAACCACCAUUCAAGCAAGGAACCGAAGGGCAACCGUCUUACGGACCUCUACAUCUCCGUUUUGCAACAGCUGCACAGACUUGAUUUUGUAUAGAUAAAAAUGCAAAAUCUGCCGUACGAUUUUUUGUAUAAUUGAAUACGGCAUAUCCAGAACACGGUAAACAACUGGCAAACUCACACUAUUAUGCGGCGACUGAAUGCUGGCUUGAAAGAGCGCAGUCGCAAAAUUUUCGAUGCUGGUAG